This 72-nucleotide transfer RNA is filed under the name Caudoviricetes sp. Its description in RNAcentral is "tRNA-Trp". It matches the Rfam family "tRNA". From Rfam's summary of the family: Transfer RNA (tRNA) molecules are approximately 80 nucleotides in length. Their secondary structure includes four short double-helical elements and three loops (D, anti-codon, and T loops). Lineage: Duplodnaviria; Heunggongvirae; Uroviricota; Caudoviricetes. The record is from RNAcentral.
AAGAGUAUAGUUUAAUUGGCAAAAUAGCGGUCUCCAAAACCGUUGUUCUAGGUUCGAGUCCUAGUGCUCUUG